This is a non-coding RNA of Anopheles minimus, 134 nucleotides long. Lineage: Eukaryota; Metazoa; Arthropoda; Insecta; Diptera; Culicidae. The record is from Rfam.
GACCCGAAAGAUGGUGAACUAUGCCUGAUCAGAUCGAAGUCAGGGGAAGCCCUGAUGGAGUACCGAAGCAUUUCUUACGUGCAAAUCGAUUUUCAGAGUUAGGAAUAGGGAUGAAAGACCAAUAUAAUAGACGG